UAACGCGUGGAUAACCUGCCUCACACUGGGGGAUAACAGUUAGAAAUGACUGCUAAUACCGCAUAAGCGCACAGCACCGCAUGGUACAGUGUGAAAAACUCCGGUGGUGUGAGAUGGAUCCGCGUCUGAUUAGCCAGUUGCGGGUAACGGCCCACCAAAGCGACGAUCAGUAGCCGACCUGAGAGGGUGACCGGCCACAUUGGGACUGAGACACGGCCCAA
RNAcentral lists this ribosomal RNA (221 nucleotides) under uncultured bacterium. Its description in RNAcentral is "partial 16S ribosomal RNA". It matches the Rfam family "Bacterial small subunit ribosomal RNA", at positions 111 to 334 of the family's 1533-position model. The record is from RNAcentral.